CCCUACGGGGGGCAGCAGUGGGGAAUAUUGGACAAUGGGCGAAAGCCUGAUCCAGCCAUGCCGCGUGUGUGAAGAAGGCCUUUUGGUUGUAAAGCACUUUAAGCGGGGAGGAGGGCUCUGUGGUUAAUACCCAUGGAAGUCGGACGUUACCCGCAGAAUAAGCACCGGCUAACUCUGUGCCAGCAGCCGCGGUAAUACAGAGGGUGCGAGCGUUAAUCGGAAUUACUGGGCGUAAAGCGCGCGUAGGCGGCUUGUUAAGUCGGAUGUGAAAUCCCUGGGCUCAACCUAGGCAUUGCAUACGAUACUGGCAAGCUAGAGUAUGGGAGAGGAAGGUAGAAUUCCAGGUGUAGCGGUGAAAUGCGUAGAGAUCUGGAGGAAUACCGAUGGCGAAGGCAGCCUUCUGGCCUAAUACUGACGCUGAGGUGCGAAAGCAUGGGGAGCAAACAGGAUUAGAUACCCCGGUAGUCC
RNAcentral lists this ribosomal RNA (468 nucleotides) under uncultured bacterium. Its description in RNAcentral is "bacterial SSU rRNA". It matches the Rfam family "Bacterial small subunit ribosomal RNA", at positions 337 to 796 of the family's 1533-position model. The record is from RNAcentral.